CCUACGGGAGGCAGCAGUGGGGGAUAUUGCACAAUGGGGGGAACCCUGAUGCAGCGACGCCGCGUGAGUGAAGAAGCGUCUCGGUGUGUAAAGCCCUGUCAGCAGGGAAGAAAAUGACGGUACCUGAAUAAGAAGCCCCGGCUAACUACGUGCCAGCAGCCGCGGUAAUACGUAGGGGGCAAGCGUUAUCCGGAUUUACUGGGUGUAAAGGGGGCGCAGGCGGCGAUGCAAGUCAGGAGUGAAAGCCCGGGGCCCAACCCCGGGACUGCUUUUGAAACUGUGUUGCUGGAGUGCAGGAGGGGCAGGCGGAAUUCCUGGUGUAGCGGUGAAAUGCGUAGAUAUCAGGAGGAACACCGGUGGCGAAGGCGGCUUGCUGGACUGCAACUGACGCUGAGGCCCGAAAGCGUGGGGAGCAAACAGGAUUAGAUACCCCAGUAGUC
This 440-nucleotide ribosomal RNA is filed under the name uncultured bacterium. RNAcentral's name for it is "partial 16S ribosomal RNA". It matches the Rfam family "Bacterial small subunit ribosomal RNA", at positions 338 to 795 of the family's 1533-position model. The record is from RNAcentral.